AAUCAACGCUGGCGGCGUGCCUAACACAUGCAAGUCGAACGCGAAAGUCCCGCAAGGGGCAAGUAGAGUGGCAAACGGGUGAGUAACACGUGGGUGACCUGCCUUCGAGUGGGGGAUAACGUCCCGAAAGGGACGCUAAUACCGCAUAACAUCCUGCCUUUGAAGAGGUGGAGAUCAAAGCUAGGGAUCGCAAGACCUAGCGCCGGAAGAGGGGCCCGCGCCUGAUUAGCUAGUUGGUGGGGUAAUGGCUCACCAAGGCAACGAUCAGUAUCCGGCCUGAGAGGGCGGACGGACACACUGGGACUGAGACACGGCCCAGACUCCUACGGGAGGCAGCAGUGGGGAAUUGUUCGCAAUGGGCGCAAGCCUGACGACGCAACGCCGCGUGGAGGACGAAGACCUUCGGGUCGUAAACUCCUUUCGAUCGAGACGAACGGCCUCCGGGUGAAUAAUCCGGAGGAGUGACGGUACCGAGAGAAGAAGCCCCGGCUAACUCCGUGC
RNAcentral lists this ribosomal RNA (501 nucleotides) under uncultured bacterium. RNAcentral describes it as "bacterial SSU rRNA". It matches the Rfam family "Bacterial small subunit ribosomal RNA", at positions 29 to 508 of the family's 1533-position model. The record is from RNAcentral.